GAUCAAGGUAUGAAGGGCGUACGGUGGAUGCCUUGGCACUAGGAGCCGAUGAAGGACGCGACGAACAGCGAUAUGCUUCGGGGAGCAGUAAGUAUGCUUUGAUCCGAAGAUUUCCGAAUGGGGGAACCCACCAUCUGUAAUGGGAUGGGACAUGUUACAUGAAUACAUAGUGUAGCGUGAGGCAGACCCGGGGAACUGAAACAUCUAAGUACCCGGAGGAAGAGAAAGCAAAUGCGAUUCCCUGAGUAGCGGCGAGCGAAACGGGAACAGCCCAAACCGAAGAGCAUGCUCUUCGG
RNAcentral lists this ribosomal RNA (296 nucleotides) under Exiguobacterium sp. BMC-KP. RNAcentral's name for it is "partial 23S ribosomal RNA". It matches the Rfam family "Bacterial large subunit ribosomal RNA", at positions 1 to 295 of the family's 2925-position model. Lineage: Bacteria; Bacillati; Bacillota; Bacilli; Caryophanales. The record is from RNAcentral.